UACAGAGGGUGCGAGCGUUGUCCGGAAUCACUGGGCGUAAAGGGCGCGUAGGUGGUGGCUUAAGCGUGCGGUGAAAGCUCGGAGCUCAACUCCGAGUCGGCCGUGCGAACUGGGCUCACUGGAGCAUAGUAGAGGCAGGUGGAAUUCCGGGUGUAGCGGUGGAAUGCGUAGAGAUCCGGAAGAACACCGGUGGCGAAGGCAGCCCCCUGGGCUUAAAUUGACGCUGAGGCACGAAAGCGUGGGGAGCAAACAGG
This 254-nucleotide ribosomal RNA is filed under the name uncultured bacterium. RNAcentral describes it as "partial 16S ribosomal RNA". It matches the Rfam family "Bacterial small subunit ribosomal RNA", at positions 524 to 776 of the family's 1533-position model. The record is from RNAcentral.